GCAAACUUCAUUAUAUAUAUAUUUUUUUAAUUCUUAUGUUUUAUGGAAGUGUAGUUGAUUUGCAGUGUUAAUUUCAAGUGUACAGCAAAGUGAUUCAGUUUUAUAUAUAUAUAUAUAUUAGAUCAUUUUCCACUACAGAAAAGAAAUUGAAUUUAGUUCCCUGUGCUGUACAGUAGUAGGUCCUUGUUGUUUAUCUGCUUUAUGUGAAGCAGUGUGUACCUGUUAAUCCAAACUGCUAAUCUGUCCCAACCCCCUUCCUGCCUGGUAACUGCAGUUUGUUUUUCUAUGUCUGUGAGUCUAUUUCUGGGCAGACUUCAUUUACCCUAGAAGUUCAUCAACCGAAAGUUUAAGGUGAAAAGGACAUGGAGGAGAUGCUGAGCAGCGAAAGGGGGCUGGUCUCAUUACUUCCUUGAGGGACAGAGGAAUCCCGGUAAUGGACCGAACACAGAGGAGGAGGAGUGGGGAUGAUGGGGGAGCCCCCGUGAAAACUGGGGGAGCCCCUGUGGACUACCUGGUCAUAAUGUAUGACCUGCCAGUUGCUGGCUUCAACGUUGAUCAGCCAGCAGGCACUCACCCAGCUAAAGAGACAGCUUAGUUCUGAGCUGGUGACCUGGGAGACGUGCCAGGAAGCACCGUCUCUGGGGUGCUGCAUCGUGGCGCGGGACAACCAUCCUCCAGCGCCCACCUCCAGCCUGGUGACCGGAGCCACACGACAACGCUGGGCCUCCCCCCAGAGCCCCUGCAGCCAGGUGUGGGGACGACUCACGGCACUGACACGUCCAGGCAUUAAGCUUCGCUUGAACUUGUGUAUGUCUGAAGCUUUGUAACAUUUCCCUUGGGAAUAAGAAGGACUAGGAAACGUGCCGCCUGUGGUGACCUCAGCAUCUCAGGGACCGCUUUAGUACUGCAUAGAUCAGCCGGGAGCAGGCUGCAACACUGCGUGGGGUGUGUGCCCCCUGAGUGGGGUGGACUUGGCUGCAGAAGUGCUGGUGUGCUUGAGCUCUGAAUGCUUUGAAUUCCAAAGCACAGCUGGCCCUGGAUGACUCAGACCUGGCGCUCAGCCAGAGGAUCCCAGGAAAUGCUUGUGAGCGAUUGAGAAGUGGAAACGAACCUCCCAUGUGAAAGGUGCCCCCCCUGCCUCUUCAUGCAGAAGGACACCCUAUCGCCAGAGAUGGGGACUCCGGGCCGAGAAGCCCAGAUGAACCACCGCCUUCAGAUACACACGACUGCAGAGAAAACAGAUGAACAGCAAGGGCCUACCGUAUAGCACAGGGAACAAUAUUCAGUUUCUUGUAAUGAGCUGCCAUGGAGAAGAAAUUGAAGAAAAAAUACAUGUAUCUGUAUAACUGAAUUGCUUUGCUGUGCCCCUGAAACUAAGAUUGUAAAUCAGCCACACUUCAAUAAAAAAUAAGAGUUAAACAAA
Long non-coding RNA from Camelus dromedarius (Arabian camel), 1423 nucleotides. RefSeq lists it as uncharacterized. The transcript is spliced from 3 exons. The record is from RefSeq and is a predicted model, not a curated record. Lineage: Eukaryota; Metazoa; Chordata; Mammalia; Artiodactyla; Camelidae.